CCUACGGGAGGCAGCAAUAGGGAAUCUUUCACAAUGGGCGAAAGCCUGAUGGAGCAACGCCGCGUGCAGGAUGAAGGCCUUCGGGUUGUAAACUGCUUUUAUAAGCGAGAAAUAUGACGGUAACUUAUGAAUAAGGAUCGGCUAACUACGUGCCAGCAGCCGCGGUCAUACGUAGGAUCCGAGCAUUAUCCGGAGUGACUGGGUGUAAAGAGUUGCUAAGGUGGGAAAAUAAGUAGUGGGGGAAAUCCGGGGGCCCAAACAUUCACACUAUUAGGGAAACUGUUAAGCUCGAGUGCGGUAGGGGUAACUGGAAUUUCUAGUGUAGGAGUGAAAUCCGUAGAUAUUAGAAGGAACACCAAUAGCGUAGGCAGGUUGCUGGGACGGUUCUGACACUAAGGCACGAAAGCGUAGGGAGCAAACGGGAUUAGAUACCCGUGUAGUC
This 442-nucleotide ribosomal RNA is filed under the name uncultured bacterium. RNAcentral describes it as "partial 16S ribosomal RNA". It matches the Rfam family "Bacterial small subunit ribosomal RNA", at positions 338 to 795 of the family's 1533-position model. The record is from RNAcentral.